RNAcentral lists this ribosomal RNA (609 nucleotides) under uncultured bacterium. Its description in RNAcentral is "bacterial SSU rRNA". The stretch from base 1 to 522 matches the Rfam family "Bacterial small subunit ribosomal RNA", at positions 338 to 873 of the family's 1533-position model. The record is from RNAcentral.
CCUACGGGAGGCAGCAGUGGGGAAUAUUGCACAAUGGGCGCAAGCCUGAUGCAGCAACGCCGCGUGAGGGACGACGGCCUUCGGGUUGUAAACCUCUUUUAGUAGGGAAGAAGCGAAAGUGACGGUACCUGCAGAAAAAGCACCGGCUAACUACGUGCCAGCAGCCGCGGUAAUACGUAGGGUGCAAGCGUUAUCCGGAAUUAUUGGGCGUAAAGAGCUCGUAGGCGGUUUGUCGCGUCUGCUGUGAAAACUGGAGGCUCAACCUCCAGCCUGCAGUGGGUACGGGCAAACUAGAGUGCGGUAGGGGAGAUUGGAAUUCCUGGUGUAGCGGUGGAAUGCGCAGAUAUCAGGAGGAACACCGAUGGCGAAGGCAGAUCUCUGGGCCGUAACUGACGCUGAGGAGCGAAAGCAUGGGGAGCGAACAGGAUUAGAUACCCUGGUAGUCCAUGCCGUAAACGUUGGGCGCUAGAUGUGGGGACCAUUCCACGGUUUCCGUGUCGCNGCUACGCAUAGACGCCCGCCGUCGGGAGGUACGGCCGCGACGGACGUAAACUAACGAAAGAAGUAGACGGCGUGAGACGCGCCGACGGACGACGACGAGGGAGGAGG